GGUUGCAACAUCCCCGUGGAUUGGGUGAGGGCCGAAAGGCCACACAGCGAAUCGACUGCAACU
This 63-nucleotide small RNA is filed under the name unclassified sequences. RNAcentral describes it as "NAD+-I sequence". It matches the Rfam family "nadA riboswitch". The record is from Rfam by way of RNAcentral.